This 476-nucleotide ribosomal RNA is filed under the name uncultured bacterium. Its description in RNAcentral is "bacterial SSU rRNA". It matches the Rfam family "Bacterial small subunit ribosomal RNA", at positions 28 to 507 of the family's 1533-position model. The record is from RNAcentral.
GAUGAACGCUGGCGGCGUGCUUAACACAUGCAAGUCGAACGGAGAAAGGGUAGCUUGCUAUCUUUUCUUAGUGGCGGACGGGUGAGUAACGCGUGGGUAACCUGCCCUUUGCAGGGGGAUAACAGUGAGAAAUCACUGCUAAUACCGCAUACCAACUUCUUUCGCAUGAAGGAAGUUUGAAAGAUUUAUCGGCAAAGGAUGGACCCGCGUUGGAUUAGCUAGUUGGUGAGAUAACAGCCCACCAAGGCAACGAUCCAUAGCCGGCCUGAGAGGGUGAACGGCCACACUGGGACUGAGACACGGCCCAGACUCCUACGGGAGGCAGCAGUGGGGAAUAUUGCACAAUGGGCGAAAGCCUGAUGCAGCGACGCCGCGUGAAGGAUGAAGGUCUUCGGAUUGUAAACUUCUAUCAGCAGGGAAGAAAGGGCCUAUGGCCUAUGACGGUACCUGACUAAGAAGCCCCGGCUAACUACGUG